RNAcentral lists this ribosomal RNA (253 nucleotides) under uncultured prokaryote. RNAcentral's name for it is "partial 16S ribosomal RNA". It matches the Rfam family "Bacterial small subunit ribosomal RNA", at positions 524 to 776 of the family's 1533-position model. The record is from RNAcentral.
UACAGAGGUCUCAAGCGUUGUUCGGAUUCAUUGGGCGUAAAGGGUGCGUAGGUGGCACCAUAAGUUAGGUGUGAAAUCUCGGGGCUCAACUCCGAAACUGCACUUGAUACUGUGGUGCUCGAGUACUGGAGAGGAGAUUGGAAUUUACGGUGUAGCAGUGAAAUGCGUAGAUAUCGUAAGGGAGACCAGUGGCGAAGGCGAGUCUCUGGACAGUUACCGACGCUGAGGCACGAAGGUCAGGGGAGCAAACGGG